GUGAAUCAUCGAAUCUUUGAACGCAAUUGCACUCCCUGGUAUUCCGGGGAGUAUGCCUGUUUGAGGGUCGUUAGAAGAAAAAUCGGAGCAUUGCUCUUUUUUUGAGGGUGAUCGCGUCGGAGUUGAGCCGUCUUUCAAAUGUUAAUUCAUGUCAAAGUGGCUUAAAAUUCAUCCAUCCGGUACGAUUAAAGCGUAUUUAAGAUCAAGUUUGACUAAGAACGCGCGAUGACGUACCAUCUCAUGUAGUACGUUUGACCUGGGACAUCAGGUUCAUUCGUAUACGAUACUCAAACUUAU
Molecule: unclassified non-coding RNA, 297 nt
Filed under: Funneliformis mosseae
Lineage: Eukaryota; Fungi; Glomeromycota; Glomeromycetes; Glomerales; Glomeraceae
Description: partial contains 5.8S ribosomal RNA and internal transcribed spacer 2
Rfam family: 5.8S ribosomal RNA (bases 1-70)
Source: RNAcentral